This 391-nucleotide ribosomal RNA is filed under the name uncultured bacterium. RNAcentral's name for it is "partial 16S ribosomal RNA". It matches the Rfam family "Bacterial small subunit ribosomal RNA", at positions 523 to 917 of the family's 1533-position model. The record is from RNAcentral.
AUACGGAGGAUCCGAGCGUUAUCCGGAUUUAUUGGGUUUAAAGGGUGCGCAGGCGGCCAUUUAGGUCAGCGGUUAAAUCGUGGGGCUCAACCCCAUUCUGCCGUUGAUACUGGGUGGCUUGAUUGCGGUCGAGGUUGGCGGAAUUCGUUGUGUAGCGGUGAAAUGCAUAGAUAUGACGAAGAACACCGAUUGCGUAGGCAGCUGACCAGACCGCAAAUGACGCUCAUGCACGAAAGUGCGGGGAUCGAACAGGAUUAGAUACCCUGGUAGUCCGCACAGUAAACGAUGAAUACUUGUUUUCGGCGAUAUAAUGUCGGAGGCAAAGCGAAAGCGAUAAGUAUUCCACCUGGGGAGUACGCCGGCAACGGUGAAACUCAAAGGAAUUGACGGG